Molecule: microRNA precursor, 181 nt
Filed under: Gossypium hirsutum (cotton)
Lineage: Eukaryota; Viridiplantae; Streptophyta; Magnoliopsida; Malvales; Malvaceae
Description: miR7503 stem-loop (ghr-MIR7503)
Source: miRBase by way of RNAcentral
CAGUAAUACUAGAUCGAUGGCUGAACAAGUUAGAUCACUAGUUUCCGAUUCAAUCAAUUCGAUCGCCAGACCAACAAUAAUUAAAGAAAUAAUUAAAAAUUCAUAAAAUCUAAAAAAUCAAAUAAAUAAAAAAAUUUAUUAUACCGAUUCAACCUGUUCAACUAUCGAUUUUGUCAUGAUU